RNAcentral lists this ribosomal RNA (854 nucleotides) under Bipolaris maydis (southern corn leaf blight pathogen). Its description in RNAcentral is "eukaryotic LSU rRNA". It matches the Rfam family "Eukaryotic large subunit ribosomal RNA", at positions 68 to 940 of the family's 3401-position model. Lineage: Eukaryota; Fungi; Ascomycota; Dothideomycetes; Pleosporales; Pleosporaceae. The record is from RNAcentral.
ACAGGGAUUGCCCUAGUAACGGCGAGUGAAGCGGCAACAGCUCAAAUUUGAAAUCUGGCUCUUUCAGAGUCCGAGUUGUAAUUUGCAGAGGGCGCUUUGGCUUUGGCAGCGGUCCAAGUUCCUUGGAACAGGACGUCACAGAGGGUGAGAAUCCCGUACGUGGUCGCUAGCUAUUGCCGUGUAAAGCCCCUUCGACGAGUCGAGUUGUUUGGGAAUGCAGCUCUAAAUGGGAGGUAAAUUUCUUCUAAAGCUAAAUAUUGGCCAGAGACCGAUAGCGCACAAGUAGAGUGAUCGAAAGAUGAAAAGCACUUUGGAAAGAGAGUCAAACAGCACGUGAAAUUGUUGAAAGGGAAGCGCUUGCAGCCAGACUUGCUUGCAGUUGCUCAUCCGGGCUUUUGCCCGGUGCACUCUUCUGUAGGCAGGCCAGCAUCAGUUUGGGCGGUGGGAUAAAGGUCUCUGUCACGUACCUCUCUUCGGGGAGGCCUUAUAGGGGAGACGACAUACCACCAGCCUAGACUGAGGUCCGCGCAUCUGCUAGGAUGCUGGCGUAAUGGCUGUAAGCGGCCCGUCUUGAAACACGGACCAAGGAGUCUAACAUCUAUGCGAGUGUUUGGGUGUCAAGCCCGAGCGCGUAAUGAAAGUGAACGGAGGUGGGAACCCGCAAGGGUGCACCAUCGACCGAUCCUGAAGUUUACGGAAGGAUUUGAGUAAGAGCAUGGCUGUUGGGACCCGAAAGAUGGUGAACUAUGCUUGAAUAGGGUGAAGCCAGAGGAAACUCUGGUGGAGGCUCGCAGCGGUUCUGACGUGCAAAUCGAUCGUCAAAUUUGGGCAUAGGGGCGAAAGACUAAUCGAAC